AAGAGUUUGAUCAUGGCUCAGGACGAACGCUGGCGGCGUGCUUAACACAUGCAAGUCGAACGGAAAGGCCCCUUCGGGGGUACUCGAGUGGCGAACGGGUGAGUAACACGUGGGUAAUCUGCCCUGCACUUCGGGAUAAGCCUGGGAAACUGGGUCUAAUACCGGAUAGGACCUCAAGGCGCAUGCCUUUAGGUGGAAAGCUUUUGCGGUGUGGGAUGGGCCCGCGGCCUAUCAGCUUGUUGGUGGGGUGACGGCCUACCAAGGCGACGACGGGUAGCCGGCCUGAGAGGGUGUCCGGCCACACUGGGACUGAGAUACGGCCCAGACUCCUACGGGAGGCAGCAGUGGGGAAUAUUGCACAAUGGGCGCAAGCCUGAUGCAGCGACGCCGCGUGGGGGAUGACGGCCUUCGGGUUGUAAACCUCUUUCACCAUCGACGAAGGUCCGGGUUUCUCGGAUUGACGGUAGGUGGAGAAGAAGCACCGGCCAACUACGUGCCAGCAGCUGCGGUAAUACGUAGGGUGCGAGCGUUGUCCGGAAUUACUGGGCGUAAAGAGCUCGUAGGUGGUUUGUCGCGUUGUUCGUGAAAUCUCACGGCUUAACUGUGAGCGUGCGGGCGAUACGGGCAGACUGGAGUACUGCAGGGGAGACUGGAAUUCCUGGUGUAGCGGUGGAAUGCGCAGAUAUCAGGAGGAACACCGGUGGCGAAGGCGGGUCUCUGGGCAGUAACUGACGCUGAGGAGCGAAAGCGUGGGGAGCGAACAGGAUUAGAUACCCUGGUAGUCCACGCCGUAAACGGUGGGUACUAGGUGUGGGUUUCCUUCCUUGGGAUCCGUGCCGUAGCUAACGCAUUAAGUACCCCGCCUGGGGAGUACGGCCGCAAGGCUAAAACUCAAAGGAAUUGACGGGGGCCCGCACAAGCGGCGGAGCAUGUGGAUUAAUUCGAUGCAACGCGAAGAACCUUACCUGGGUUUGACAUGCACAGGACGCGUCUAGAGAUAGGCGUUCCCUUGUGGCCUGUGUGCAGGUGGUGCAUGGCUGUCGUCAGCUCGUGUCGUGAGAUGUUGGGUUAAGUCCCGCAACGAGCGCAACCCUUGUCUCAUGUUGCCAGCGGGUAAUGCCGGGGACUCGUGAGAGACUGCCGGGGUCAACUCGGAGGAAGGUGGGGAUGACGUCAAGUCAUCAUGCCCCUUAUGUCCAGGGCUUCACACAUGCUACAAUGGCCGGUACAAAGGGCUGCGAUGCCGUGAGGUUAAGCGAAUCCUUUUAAAGCCGGUCUCAGUUCGGAUCGGGGUCUGCAACUCGACCCCGUGAAGUCGGAGUCGCUAGUAAUCGCAGAUCAGCAACGCUGCGGUGAAUACGUUCCCGGGCCUUGUACACACCGCCCGUCACGUCAUGAAAGUCGGUAACACCCGAAGCCAGUGGCCUAACCCUUGGGAGGGAGCUGUCGAAGGUGGGAUCGGCGAUUGGGACGAAGUCGUAACAAGGUAGCCGUACCGGAAGGUGCGGCUGGAUCACCUCCUUUCUAAGGAGCACCACGAAAAGCACCCCAACUGGUGGGGUGUAAGCCGUGAGGGGUUUUCGUCUGUAGUGGACGAGAGCCGGGUGCACGACAACAAACAAGCCAGACACACUAUUGGGUCCUGAGGCAACACUCGGGCUUGUUCCAAGGUGUUGUCCCCACCAUCUUGGUGGUGGGGUGUGGUGUUUGAGAAUUGGAUAGUGGUUGCGAGCAUCAAUUGGAUGCGCUACCCGUAGGGUUGCGAAUCCAUUUAGAUGUGCAAUUUUAAUUCUUUGGUUUUUGUAGUGUUUGUAAGUGUCUAAGGGCACAUGGUGGAUGCCUUGGCAUCGAGAGCCGAUGAAGGACGUGGGAGGCUGCGAUAUGCCUCGGGGAGCUGUCAACCGAGCGUGGAUCCGAGGAUUUCCGAAUGGGGAAACCCAACACGAGUUAUGUCGUGUUACCCGUAUCUGAAUAUAUAGGGUGCGGGAGGGAACGCGGGGAAGUGAAACAUCUCAGUACCCGUAGGAGAAGAAAACAAUUGUGAUUCCGCAAGUAGUGGCGAGCGAACGCGGAACAUGGCUAAACCGCACGCAUGGGUAACCGGGUAGGGGUUGUGUGUGCGGGGUUGUGGGAGUGAUACGUCUCAGCUCUACCCAGCUGAGGGGCAGUCAGAAAGUGUCGCGGUUAGCGGAAGUGGCCUGGGAUGGUCUGCCGCAGACGGUGAGAGCCCGGUACGCGAAAACCCGGCACCUGCCUUGUAUCAGUUCCCGAGUAGCAGCGGGCCCGUGGAAUCUGCUGUGAAUCUGCCGGGACCACCCGGUAA
This 2323-nucleotide ribosomal RNA is filed under the name Mycobacterium simulans. Its description in RNAcentral is "bacterial LSU rRNA". The stretch from base 1 to 1524 matches the Rfam family "Bacterial small subunit ribosomal RNA". The record is from RNAcentral. Lineage: Bacteria; Bacillati; Actinomycetota; Actinomycetes; Mycobacteriales; Mycobacteriaceae.